Molecule: ribosomal RNA, 450 nt
Filed under: uncultured bacterium
Lineage: Bacteria
Description: bacterial SSU rRNA
Rfam family: Bacterial small subunit ribosomal RNA
Source: RNAcentral
AACGAACGCUGGCGGCAGGCCUAACACAUGCAAGUCGAGCGAACCUUCGGGUUAGCGGCGGACGGGUUAGUAACGCGUGGGAACGUACCCAAAGGUACGGAAUAGCUUCGGGAAACUGGAGGUAAUACCGUAUGUGCCCUUCGGGGGAAAGAUUUAUCGCCUUUGGAUCGGCCCGCGUAAGAUUAGGUAGUUGGUGAGGUAACGGCUCACCAAGCCUACGAUCUUUAUCUGGUUUGAGAGGAUGAUCAGAAACACUGGGACUGAGACACGGCCCAGACUCCUACGGGAGGCAGCAGUGGGGAAUCUUGGACAAUGGGCGCAAGCCUGAUCCAGCCAUGCCGCGUGAGUGAAGAAGGCCUUAGGGUUGUAAAGCUCUUUCAGGGGUGAGGAUUAUGACAGUAACCCCAGAAGAAGCACCGGCUAACUUCGUGCCAGCCGCCGCCGUAACAC